GACGAACGCUGGCGGCGUGCUUAACACAUGCAAGUCGAACGGUGAAGCGCCUUCCUUUUUGGUGGGUGUGGAUGAGUGGCGAACGGGUGAGUAACACGUGAGUAACCUGCCCCCUUCUUCUGGAUAACCGCAUGAAAGUGUGGCUAAUACUGGAUAUUCUGGGUCUGUCGCAUGAUGGGUCUGGGAAAGAUAUUGUUUCGGUGGGGGAUGGGCUCGCGGCCUAUCAGCUUGUUGGUGGGGUGAUGGCCUACCAAGGCGGUGACGGGUAGCCGGCCUGAGAGGGUGGACGGUCACACUGGGACUGAGACACGGCCCAGACUCCUACGGGAGGCAGCAGUGGGGAAUAGUGCACAAUGGGCGCAAGCCUGAUGCAGCGACGCCGCGUGAGGGAUGGAGGCCUUCGGGUUGUGAACCUCUUUCGCCAGUGAAGCAGGACUGCCUCGUGUGUGGGUGGGUUGACGGUAGCUGGAUAAGAAGCGCCGGCUAACUACGUG
Molecule: ribosomal RNA, 494 nt
Filed under: uncultured bacterium
Lineage: Bacteria
Description: partial 16S ribosomal RNA
Rfam family: Bacterial small subunit ribosomal RNA
Source: RNAcentral